GACAUCAGCUGCCACACGGGUGAUCUGCGUGACUGGCAGAUCCAAUGGCAUAAAUUGCAUCCUGCGCGCACGAACGGUUCAUCUGCAUUCUCUCUUCAAAUGCGAUCGGACGGAUGAGAUUGAUCGCGAUAAACGGUCUAUAUUCACUCAUGCAAUAUGCAUAAAUAGGCAACAAUCGGACGACUCUCCUCGCUCCACGUCAACGUAAAUGAACGACCAACAUUAAAGAGAAAAGAGGUAUUUAAACCUCUCUUCAGUCGGUCCUAAAACCCUAACCGACACUCGACAGAAAAAGAAGAAGAAGGAGGGCGGCCGGAGGGAAGACCAGCUACCGAAGGGACGCUGUUGCCGCCGCAUCGGAGCCAUCGCCGAUGCCGAGAAAGGUAAAAAAAAUUUCUUCCCUCUUGGAAUUCAAUGUCAAAUCUCUCUAUGCUUAUAUCAGAAUCAAAAGGCUAACGGACGAGCCGAAAAUCACGAGCGAAGCUCGACAGAGCCGCCGCGAUCAAAAUUCAAAACCCUCUCGGAUGACCCUCUUCUUGUUAUCCGUUUCGUGUGAUUUUUUUACCAUUAUAUUUUUCGUCUUUUUCUGGUGCAGGUUAGUCGAAGAAAAACCUCGAUCGUGAAGGAGGAACGGUGGAAUCGCUACACCAAGAGACCUUUCACUGCCAACCAAAAUCGGCAUAAAUCGCAAAAAGGUCAAAUCGAGGUGAACCACCGUCAUGGACAAUAGAGUCGGUGCGAGAGCGGCAAUGCUGUGCCAGAAUCCUAAAAUUGGUCGGAAAAAUUUUAAAACGUUUAUUUUAGCAUUUUGGAAUAUUUUUAAAUACGUGACGAGUAUUUUAAUUUUCGCAGAAAAAAUUUAAGAAACCCGGAGACCGUCAGGAGGUGCAGUGAAAAGUACGUUGUUUCGGAUACUGAUCUGAGGUAAGAAUCCCUUACUCUUUUUUCUAUUUAUGGUAAAUUGAAGCCUAAUAAUCAAUAACACGGUGUUUUAUGAAAAUUAAAACAUCCAAAAAUUAAUUACAGGUCACUAGUGGAGACGGAACCGGUCAGUGCGUAUUUGUCCUAGUUUAUUGUUUAUUUUUUCCUAUACUGCCUAAUGUGUUUACUGUUAUAUUGUGUGUUUUGAAUUACUAGUUUUAGAUUGCUUUCCUGAUUAUUUAGUUUACUUAACUGUAUUGCCCUCAUCUGUUGUUUUGUUCCUAAUAAAUGUUCUAAUAAUGAUUUCUUGAUUUA
Non-coding RNA from Carica papaya (papaya), 1236 nucleotides. The record is from RefSeq and is a predicted model, not a curated record. Lineage: Eukaryota; Viridiplantae; Streptophyta; Magnoliopsida; Brassicales; Caricaceae.